UGAACAUUGAGAAAAGAUUGUUGCUGAUGUAGAGUUUUGUAACUGUGGACCCCACAGUCCAUGACAGAAACAAAUAGGACAGAAAAUUCCAUCUUCAUCACUAACAAAAGAAAAGGCAUAUUUCUAGAUUGGCUUAACGCGUGCAGUCUGCUGUCGCGCAAACAUUUAUUUCAUUCUGAUCUACCUUUUUUCUGUCUAGUCACAAGUGUGGAGGAGGAGCUAAAGAGUGUCUACGAGCUGGUGGGGGCGGUGGCGGUGGCAGUGGUCCGUUGACAUCACAAAUAUGGGGAAGGAGACGUUUCUCGAAGGAUUGUCCAAAAGGGGACCGUGGCGGUGGUAGAAGUCGUACCUGCCAUGAGGCAAAAAAAAAACAAGAAAACAUUUUUAGUGUCCAUUUUUAACGAAGAAGAGGGCCAUGUAGCAAGGGAUUUUCCUCAAGGAGGAUGCAAUGGGUUCGUUGUUUUAUCCCUAAUGUCAUGAAGCUGGUUGCACCUCGAAAGGCUGUCCGAAUCUAUUCAGUGAAUUGAUGGGAGAUGUAGAGCCGCGUAAGAAAUACAUUCCGGAAGCUGUGACAUGCGAUGAAAAGGAAUUCUUUAAGGGCAUCGUCUGUGGGAAACGCUUUAACAGUUUUGAUAAAGUCGUGCUCCAAGUUACAGGAAAAGAUGUAUCUCAAUACAUAACAUCUUUCGAAGAAGCUGCGCCAACUACUACUUCAAAACAUAAAAAAUUCUGGCUGCAUAAAACCAACACGUGUUCAGAAAGCUUCAGUUGCAGGUGGCAUACUUGGUACCGGUUUUGAACAUAUUGUUAGAACAAGGUGUUGCUGGUGCGUCUCAUGCCAUGGGGCAAAAGCCAGAAGUUGUAAUUGUCGCACCCACUCGUGAAUGGGCCAUUCAAAUUUAACGGAAGUCGUGUAAAUUAUCCUACAAUUCGGUUUUCAAGUCUGAUUAUAUAUGGAGGAACUGUCGCGAGCCAUCAAAUGUCAAAUCUUCAAGCUGGGGAAUCCGUCGUGCUUUUAUGUUUUCGGCGACAUUCCCAGAUGAAGUACAAGCGCUGGCUGCGACUUACAUGGAAGACUACGUAUUCGUCACAACAGGCAUUGUCGGUGGCACCAAUCGAGAUGUUGAACAGCUGUUUUUUCAGUGCUCGAAAAGAAAUAAGAGAGUAAGCUGAUCGAAGUUUUACAAGAUCUCGGUGAUGCCAAGACUAUCGUUUUUGACAACAGCAAAAAGACGCCGGAUUUCAUCGCUGCAUUUUUCUGCCAUAACAACUUACAAUCUACCAGCAUCCAUGGUGAUCGUCUUCUGAGUCAGCGUGAGCAGUCGACUUGUGACUUAAAAAUGGUAUUAGGAAUAUUCUCGUGGCCACUAAUGUUGCUGCCUGUAGUUUAG
Long non-coding RNA from Daphnia carinata, 1391 nucleotides. RefSeq lists it as uncharacterized. Lineage: Eukaryota; Metazoa; Arthropoda; Branchiopoda; Diplostraca; Daphniidae. The transcript is spliced from 8 exons. The record is from RefSeq and is a predicted model, not a curated record.